UGACCGUAAAGCGCUGCAUGGCGAGGCCGGAGAGCGCCGGGCCCGGCGGGGCGGCCCGAGCGCGGGCAGACGGCGGCCGAGAGUACCUCGGCCCUCCCCAGGGCCGCCGCGCAGGAAGCACCGCCUCGGCGGUGCCGCCGCUCAUUCCAUGUCCUCUGCCCCCACAAGUGGAACCUCCUCAAAUGGCAGAGCAUCUGCCAUUUUAUAUGAUCAUCAUCAUAAGAUGAGCAUCUUAAGCCUGCCCUUCUGCACCUUCAGCUUGAGAUCUCCACGUGUAAAGGCAGACAAGUGAGAGGUCUCCAUUCAGAAUCAGCAGAGAAUUGGGUCCUCUUUCAGUGAAGCACUCUUCUUGGACAAAGAAGCAUGAGCAAUCACAUCCUUAUUCAGCAAAGCAUGCUGUGCAACAAAAGGCUUCAAGUGUAUCUAAAGCUGCACCAAAGAAGGGGCAUGGAAACAUCUCAAGGCACCCUUGAAUGCAGGUGGAAUUCAGUGUGCCCUCCCUUGUUUUGAGUAUUAGUGUGGAUACUUUUGUUAUUUAAAAUCAAGCUAGUGGGGUUUGGU
Molecule: long non-coding RNA, 561 nt
Organism: Pezoporus occidentalis (night parrot)
Lineage: Eukaryota; Metazoa; Chordata; Aves; Psittaciformes; Psittacidae
Exons: 3
Source: RefSeq, a predicted model, not a curated record